GCUCUUGUAGCUCAGCUGGUUAGAGCGCGGUGCUUAUAAGCAGGGAUCCUGUUAUACAUAUAGCAUGAAAGUGUUAAGAUACGCCGAGGCCGAGAGUUCGAUCCUCUCCAGGAGCA
This 116-nucleotide transfer RNA is filed under the name Mitosporidium daphniae. It matches the Rfam family "tRNA". Rfam says of the family: Transfer RNA (tRNA) molecules are approximately 80 nucleotides in length. Their secondary structure includes four short double-helical elements and three loops (D, anti-codon, and T loops). Further hydrogen bonds mediate the characteristic L-shaped molecular structure. tRNAs have two regions of fundamental functional importance: the anti-codon, which is responsible for specific mRNA codon recognition, and the 3' end, to which the tRNAs corresponding amino acid is attached (by aminoacyl-tRNA synthetases). tRNAs cope with the degeneracy of the genetic code in two manners: having more than one tRNA (with a specific anti-codon) for a particular amino acid; and 'wobble' base-pairing, i.e. permitting non-standard base-pairing at the 3rd anti-codon position. Lineage: Eukaryota; Fungi; Microsporidia. The record is from Rfam by way of RNAcentral.